This is a long non-coding RNA of Myotis davidii, 520 nucleotides long. RefSeq lists it as uncharacterized. NCBI's taxonomy places the organism in Eukaryota, Metazoa, Chordata, Mammalia, Chiroptera, Vespertilionidae. The record is from RefSeq and is a predicted model, not a curated record. The transcript has 2 exons.
CUCUUUUUUUUUUUUUUAGCCUGUUGGUAUUUGCAGAGGUACUCUGCGUCGAAGAUUUGAAGUAAAGCUUGUCAAUAUAAAUUGUGACUUCUUUCAAUCACAGAAACAAAAAACCUACGCACUCACCCUCCAAAGAUGUGCUAAGCAGAUCUGUCCAGUACCUUCCUGAUCUGGAUGAUGAAGAAUCUCAGGAAACGGAUCCUGCUGAGGCCUUCCCUGUGCACCUGGAUCUAACCACAAAUCCCCAGGGAGAACCCCUCAAUGUUUCCUUCCUCUUCCAUGGGCCUAUGAUUAAGAAGCUGUUUGUCCUACCUUUCCCCAAAGAAGAACAACGCUCUGCUGAGUGUCCUGGAAAAGCCUCCAGGAGCAACCCUAUUCUUCUCCCACCAUGAGAACCACGUAGAGGAUUCCAUGGGAAUGUGGUGCCCUGCAGGAGAUGAGUGGUAGUGGGGAAGGGAGACAGAGAGACAGAGGGUUUGAACAUAGAGAAUAGCUAAUAAAGUGUGUCUUUUUGACUCUU